UUCUGAUUUACAGAAAUGCAGGGUGAUGAAGCCAGCCUCUUGCUAAGCUUCUCCUCUAAUUGUCACCCUACUCAGAUUAAAGCUGAUUGGAAACAGGAUGAG
Hibiscus syriacus is the source of this 102-nucleotide long non-coding RNA. RefSeq lists it as uncharacterized. The transcript has 3 exons. NCBI's taxonomy places the organism in Eukaryota, Viridiplantae, Streptophyta, Magnoliopsida, Malvales, Malvaceae. The record is from RefSeq and is a predicted model, not a curated record.